This 498-nucleotide ribosomal RNA is filed under the name uncultured bacterium. Its description in RNAcentral is "bacterial SSU rRNA". It matches the Rfam family "Bacterial small subunit ribosomal RNA", at positions 30 to 516 of the family's 1533-position model. The record is from RNAcentral.
AUUGAACGCUGGCGGCAUGCCUAACACAUGCAAGUCGAACGGCAGCGCGGGUAGCUUGCUACCUGGCGGCGAGUGGCGGACGGGUGAGUAAUGCAUAGGAAUCUGCCCAGUAGCGGGGGAUAGCCCGGGGAAACCCGGAUUAAUACCGCAUACGCCCUACGGGGGAAAGCAGGGGAUCCUCGGACCUUGCACUAUUGGAUGAGCCUAUGUCUGAUUAGCUUGUUGGUGGGGUAACGGCCUACCAAGGCGACGAUCAGUAGCUGGUCUGAGAGGACGAUCAGCCACACCGGAACUGAGACACGGUCCGGACUCCUACGGGAGGCAGCAGUGGGGAAUAUUGGACAAUGGGGGAAACCCUGAUCCAGCAAUGCCGCGUGUGUGAAGAGGGCCUGCGGGUUGUAAAGCACUUUCAGUUGGGAAGAAACAGCAGCCGGCUAAUAUCCGGUUGUCUUGACGUAACCAACAGAAGAAGCACCGGCUAACUCCGUGCCAGCAGCC